This 425-nucleotide ribosomal RNA is filed under the name uncultured rumen bacterium. RNAcentral's name for it is "bacterial SSU rRNA". It matches the Rfam family "Bacterial small subunit ribosomal RNA", at positions 354 to 776 of the family's 1533-position model. The record is from RNAcentral.
GUGGGGAAUAUUGGACAAUGGCCGAGAGGCUGAUCCAGCCAUGCCGCGUGCGGGAGGACGGCCCUAUGGGUUGUAAACCGCUUUUGUCAGGGGGCAAUAAGUGUCACGUGUGGCACGAUGAGAGUACCUGGCGAAUAAGCAUCGGCUAACUCCGUGCCAGCAGCCGCGGUAAUACGGAGGAUGCAAGCGUUAUCCGGAUUUAUUGGGUUUAAAGGGUGCGUAGGCGGAAGCUUAAGCGUGAGGUGAAAUGCCACUGCUCAACAGUGGAACUGCCUCGCGAACUGGGUUUCUGGAAUGCCCCUGCCGUGGGAGGAAUGUGUGGUGUAGCGGUGAAAUGCAUAGAGAUCACACAGAACACCGAUUGCGAAGGCAUCUCACGAAGGGGUGAUUGACGCUGAGGCACGAAAGCGUGGGGAUCAAACAGG